CCGGUAACUACGUGCCAGCAGCCGCGGUAAUACGUAGGUGGCAAGCGUUGUCCGGAUUAUUGGGCGUAAAGCGAGCGCAGGCGGAAUGAUAAGUCUGAUGUGAAAGCCCACGGCUCAACCGUGGAACUGCAUCGGAAACUGUCAUUCUUGAGUGCAGAAGAGGAGAGUGGAACUCCAUGUGUAGCGGUGGAAUGCGUAGAUAUAUGGAAGAACACCAGUGGCGAAGGCGGCUCUCUGGUCUGCAACUGACGCUGAGGCUCGAAAGCAUGGGUAGCAAACAGGAUUAGAUACCCUGGUAGUCCACGCCGUAAACGAUGUCGACUAGCCGUUGGGCUCCUUGAGAGCUUAGUGGCGCAGCUAACGCAUUAAGUCGACCGCCUGGGGAGUACGGCCGCAAGGUUAAAACUCAAAUGAAUUGACGGGGGCCCGCACAAGCGGUGGAGCAUGUGGUUUAAUUCGAAGCAACGCGAAGAACCUUACCAGGCCUUGACAUGCUGAGAACCUGCGGUCGACGCGGCCG
RNAcentral lists this ribosomal RNA (520 nucleotides) under uncultured bacterium. Its description in RNAcentral is "bacterial SSU rRNA". It matches the Rfam family "Bacterial small subunit ribosomal RNA", at positions 494 to 1015 of the family's 1533-position model. The record is from RNAcentral.